Molecule: ribosomal RNA, 1190 nt
Filed under: Staphylococcus pseudintermedius
Lineage: Bacteria; Bacillati; Bacillota; Bacilli; Caryophanales; Staphylococcaceae
Description: partial 23S ribosomal RNA
Rfam family: Bacterial large subunit ribosomal RNA
Source: RNAcentral
CUCUUAAGAUUGAGCUGUGAUGGGGAGAGGAACUUGUUCCUCGAGUCGUUGAUUUCACACUGCCGAGAAAAGCCUCUAGCUAGAAUAACGGUGCCCGUACCGCAAACCGACACAGGUAGUCAAGAUGAGAAUUCUAAGGUGAGCGAGCGAACUCUCGUUAAGGAACUCGGCAAAAUGACCCCGUAACUUCGGGAGAAGGGGUGCUCUUUGAGGUUCACGCUUCGAAGAGCCGCAGUGAAUAGGCCCAAGCGACUGUUUAUCAAAAACACAGGUCUCUGCUAAACCGUAAGGUGACGUAUAGGGGCUGACGCCUGCCCGGUGCUGGAAGGUUAAGAGGAGUGGUUAGCGCAAGCGAAGCUACGAAUCGAAGCCCCAGUAAACGGCGGCCGUAACUAUAACGGUCCUAAGGUAGCGAAAUUCCUUGUCGGGUAAGUUCCGACCCGCACGAAAGGCGUAACGAUUUGGGCACUGUCUCAACGAGAGACUCGGUGAAAUCAUAGUACCGGUGAAGAUGCCGGUUACCCGCGACAGGACGGAAAGACCCCGUGGAGCUUUACUGUAGCCUGAUAUUGAAAUUCGGUACAGUUUGUACAGGAUAGGUAGGAGCCUUAGAAGCGUGAGCGCUAGCUUACGUGGAGGCAUUGGUGGGAUACUACCCUAAUUGUAUUGGAUUUCUAACCCGCAGCACUUAUCGUGCUGGGAGACAGUGUCAGGCGGGCAGUUUGACUGGGGCGGUCGCCUCCUAAAGAGUAACGGAGGCGCUCAAAGGUUCCCUCAGAAUGGUUGGAAAUCAUUCAUAGAGUGUAAAGGCAUAAGGGAGCUUGACUGCGAGACCUACAAGUCGAGCAGGGUCGAAAGACGGACUUAGUGAUCCGGUGGUUCCGCAUGGAAGGGCCAUCGCUCAACGGAUAAAAGCUACCCCGGGGAUAACAGGCUUAUCUCCCCCAAGAGUUCACAUCGACGGGGAGGUUUGGCACCUCGAUGUCGGCUCAUCGCAUCCUGGGGCUGUAGUCGGUCCCAAGGGUUGGGCUGUUCGCCCAUUAAAGCGGUACGCGAGCUGGGUUCAGAACGUCGUGAGACAGUUCGGUCCCUAUCCGUCGUGGGCGUAGGAAAUUUGAGAGGAGCUGUCCUUAGUACGAGAGGACCGGGAUGGACAUACCUCUGGUGUACCAGUUGUCGUGCCAACGGCA